GCCGAGGUAGCUCAACGGCAGAGCAACGCUUUUGUAAAGCGUCGGUUGGAGGUUCAAAUCCUCUCCUCGGCUCCA
RNAcentral lists this transfer RNA (75 nucleotides) under candidate division WWE3 bacterium. RNAcentral's name for it is "tRNA-Thr". It matches the Rfam family "tRNA". From Rfam's summary of the family: Transfer RNA (tRNA) molecules are approximately 80 nucleotides in length. Their secondary structure includes four short double-helical elements and three loops (D, anti-codon, and T loops). Further hydrogen bonds mediate the characteristic L-shaped molecular structure. tRNAs have two regions of fundamental functional importance: the anti-codon, which is responsible for specific mRNA codon recognition, and the 3' end, to which the tRNAs corresponding amino acid is attached (by aminoacyl-tRNA synthetases). tRNAs cope with the degeneracy of the genetic code in two manners: having more than one tRNA (with a specific anti-codon) for a particular amino acid; and 'wobble' base-pairing, i.e. permitting non-standard base-pairing at the 3rd anti-codon position. Lineage: Bacteria; candidate division WWE3. The record is from RNAcentral.